RNAcentral lists this ribosomal RNA (586 nucleotides) under Klebsiella pneumoniae. RNAcentral's name for it is "partial 23S ribosomal RNA". It matches the Rfam family "Bacterial large subunit ribosomal RNA", at positions 2261 to 2842 of the family's 2925-position model. RNAcentral also lists the same sequence under 1 other name. Lineage: Bacteria; Pseudomonadati; Pseudomonadota; Gammaproteobacteria; Enterobacterales; Enterobacteriaceae. The record is from RNAcentral.
GUGGGUAGUUUGACUGGGGCGGUCUCCUCCCAAAGCGUAACGGAGGAGCACGAAGGUUAGCUAAUCCUGGUCGGACAUCAGGAGGUUAGUGCAAUGGCAUAAGCUAGCUUGACUGCGAGCGUGACGGCGCGAGCAGGUGCGAAAGCAGGUCAUAGUGAUCCGGUGGUUCUGAAUGGAAGGGCCAUCGCUCAACGGAUAAAAGGUACUCCGGGGAUAACAGGCUGAUACCGCCCAAGAGUUCAUAUCGACGGCGGUGUUUGGCACCUCGAUGUCGGCUCAUCACAUCCUGGGGCUGAAGUAGGUCCCAAGGGUAUGGCUGUUCGCCAUUUAAAGUGGUACGCGAGCUGGGUUUAGAACGUCGUGAGACAGUUCGGUCCCUAUCUGCCGUGGGCGCUGGAGAAUUGAGGGGGGCUGCUCCUAGUACGAGAGGACCGGAGUGGACGCAUCACUGGUGUUCGGGUUGUCAUGCCAAUGGCACUGCCCGGUAGCUAAAUGCGGAAGAGAUAAGUGCUGAAAGCAUCUAAGCACGAAACUUGCCCCGAGAUGAGUUCUCCCUGAGACUUUAAGUCUCCUGAAGGAACGUUAA